GCAGCGGUAGCUCAGUGGUAGAGUGUAGGAUUGCAGCGUCUGAGAUACAGCAUCCCAUCCCGAGGUCCCCGGUUCGAUCCCGGGUCGCUGCU
This is a non-coding RNA of Phyllosticta citrichinensis, 92 nucleotides long. NCBI's taxonomy places the organism in Eukaryota, Fungi, Ascomycota, Dothideomycetes, Botryosphaeriales, Phyllostictaceae. The record is from the annotation of a GenBank genome assembly.